Molecule: ribosomal RNA, 331 nt
Filed under: uncultured eukaryote
Lineage: Eukaryota
Description: partial 18S ribosomal RNA
Rfam family: Eukaryotic small subunit ribosomal RNA
Source: RNAcentral
CCAUUAGAUGUCCGGGGCCGCACGCGCGCUACACUGACGAAGUCAGCGAGCAUGUCCUACGCCGACAGGUGCGGGGAAUCUUGUCAAACUUCGUCGUGAUGGGGAUUGAUUAUUGAAAUUCUUGAUCAUCAACGAGGAAUUCCUAGUAAGCGCAAGUCAGCAGCUUGCGUUGAUUACGUCCCUGCCCUUUGUACACACCGCCCGUCGCUACUACCGAUUGAAUGGUUUAGUGAGAUCUUCGGAUUGGCGCCACUGCGGCUCAGCAAUGGGCUCGGUGGAUGCCGAAAAGUUGAUCAAACUUGAUCAUUUAGAGGAAGUAAAAGUCGUAACA